CCCUGCAGUGCUCACCUCUCCCAGUGCCUUCUUGCCUGAUUUAAUGCCUGAUGCUUUCUCUAACAAGGACAUCAUCACGUCAAAGAUAGGAGCAAGCAGCCAACAGCCUGGGGAAGAACAGCAGUGUGCACUGCUCAUCAGACCAGGAUAAUACCACAUGCACUUCAACAAUGUGGCUUUUCCAGCCAGGAUUGCAGAAAAACUCCUGCUCUCCGGUGAGCAUCAUUUUCCUAUCAACCCUCCUGGUCUGCAGAGCUAUGCUUGCAGAAAGGCUCAGCUUCUGGCUCUGCACAUCUCAAGUGGGAGGUGCAACAACCACCAGAGACAAAAGAACAGCUUUUCCAGAAUCACUUUUGUUGGUGCAGGUGGAGAGAGAGCUAUGCUCACAGGGAAAGAACAGCAGCAGACCUAAGGCUGCUGUUUUUUGGGAGUCCACACGGCUAUUCCAAAAACCAUCACUGCCGAAGUCAAGCCAGUGAACAUGCAAAAAAAAAAAAGCUAAACUGGGAGACAAAGUCUCUGCUCCAAUCCUCUACUCCUUUCCAGCUCUAUUAAACCCUCUUCAUAAGACCAAAAAGAGAGUCAAAAAGACAGAAGCUGUCCGGGACCCUGUUGGGAAGGGCUGGCUCUGGAGGCCUUUCCUCCUUCCAGCUGCAGCAUAUCCUGGGGAGAAACCUUCAGGAGCCACCUCCUGGUAUCCACCUCCCACUGAAGCUGUUUUGGUCAGAGCCUUUCUCUUUCCUCACCUGGUUGUUGCAGGAAAGUUCAAGGUGUCCUGGCAGCAGGAAGCUCCCUUGCUCCACCCUCUGCCCAGCAGAGCUCUCCCUGAGCUCACCGAGGAUUUUCUGCACCAGACCUGCCAGCGACAGCGACCUGCUGUGUGUGGACACCCGGCUGGGAGCGGGACCCCCGGCAUGAAGCACCUCUCCUGUGAGCCCUGGGCAGCCCUCGCCGUGCUCCUCCUCACCGCUGCCCUCUGGGAUUCCUGCUCAGCAGCAACUGAAGACAUCUCCAAUGCUUCAACAACUGAGUAUGAACCACCAUGUCUUAACAUGAACUUCUGCAGGCAAGCGGCCACGUGCUGCCCUUCGGGCAUGGAUGACUACGGGUGGAUCGCAGCGGCUGUUGGCUGGAGCCUCUGGUUUCUGACCCUCAUCCUGCUCUGCAUGGACAAGAUCAUCAAACUCCGGCCUGAUGAACCCAAAUACUUGGUGGCCUGA
RNAcentral lists this long non-coding RNA (1220 nucleotides) under Cyanistes caeruleus (blue tit). RNAcentral describes it as "lncRNA (ENSCCEG00000011430.1)". The record is from RNAcentral. Lineage: Eukaryota; Metazoa; Chordata; Aves; Passeriformes; Paridae.